Molecule: ribosomal RNA, 375 nt
Filed under: Escherichia coli
Lineage: Bacteria; Pseudomonadati; Pseudomonadota; Gammaproteobacteria; Enterobacterales; Enterobacteriaceae
Also listed under: 1 other name
Description: partial 23S ribosomal RNA
Rfam family: Bacterial large subunit ribosomal RNA
Source: RNAcentral
GUACUCCGGGGAUAACAGGCUGAUACCGCCCAAGAGUUCAUAUCGACGGCGGUGUUUGGCACCUCGAUGUCGGCUCAUCACAUCCUGGGGCUGAAGUAGGUCCCAAGGGUAUGGCUGUUCGCCAUUUAAAGUGGUACGCGAGCUGGGUUUAGAACGUCGUGAGACAGUUCGGUCCCUAUCUGCCGUGGGCGCUGGAGAACUGAGGGGGGCUGCUCCUAGUACGAGAGGACCGGAGUGGACGCAUCACUGGUGUUCGGGUUGUCAUGCCAAUGGCACUGCCCGGUAGCUAAAUGCGGAAGAGAUAAGUGCUGAAAGCAUCUAAGCACGAAACUUGCCCCGAGAUGAGUUCUCCCUGACCCUUUAAGGGUCCUGAAG